AACUUUCGACAAUGGAUCACUCGGCUCUCGCGUCGAUGAAGAGCGUGGCAAACUGCGAAAAGUAAUGCGACAUGCAACCAUCGUGAACCAUCGAGUCCUUGAACGCACCUUGCACCGGCCGCGGCAACGCGACCGGUCUGCCUGGGUGAGCAUCGAUCUACUCUCUACUUCGUGCAUGCGCGCAGUGAUGCUGUGCAUGCGCGGUACUGGGCCUGCACCACCUUCAAGCGUGUAAUGCGCGCUGUGCUCGCCUUAAAUGCUCGAGACUCUGCGCCGCUGCUACAUGCUGCAUACCUCUAAGCACUGUCCGGAAUGGUGCGCGCUUUCUGCGUGCUGUUGCGAUGCAGCGGUGUUUUCCAUGGGGCAGCAUAUGCGCACGUGCGCACACACACACAAGACACCUCAUAUGCGAUCUCACCUCAGGCAGGACUACCCGCUGAACUUAAGCAUAUCAAUAAGCGGAGGCU
RNAcentral lists this unclassified non-coding RNA (467 nucleotides) under uncultured Basidiomycota. RNAcentral describes it as "sequence contains ITS2". The stretch from base 1 to 155 matches the Rfam family "5.8S ribosomal RNA". The record is from RNAcentral. Lineage: Eukaryota; Fungi; Basidiomycota.